RNAcentral lists this long non-coding RNA (287 nucleotides) under Olea europaea (common olive). Its description in RNAcentral is "long non-coding RNA (OEUR_LNC005125)". Lineage: Eukaryota; Viridiplantae; Streptophyta; Magnoliopsida; Lamiales; Oleaceae. The record is from RNAcentral.
GAUGACAUUUUAAUUUUGUAUUGUGUUGUUUCUAUAAUGCUCAAAUUUUGCAUAAAUGAUCGAAAAUGUUAUUGGAUUUACAAAAUGGAAAAUGAAAAUGGGAAUUUGUUCAACAUAUCUUGAUCCAAGAAUGUGUGUCGUACUUGAACUUGCAUCACUGAUGAAACUAGGGAAUUGCUUCAAAAAAUUUUGUAUUGUUUCUAUAAUUUCAAGCUUGUGAGUUGGUGAAAUACAAAGCCUAUUAUAUAACAAUCCGAUAUCCCUCUACGACACAAAUUUCAUUAUCU